AUCUCAAUCUAUCAUUGAAUAAUUUCACUGGAUGGAUCCCGAGCGGAAUCCAGAAUCUCCAGCAGCUGAAGUUUCUGGAUUUGCAUUCAAAUGGGAUUGCCAGUGAUGUCAGGAUUCUGUUGUCUGAGCUUUAGAAUACGAAAUAUGUCGAUAUCAGUGGUAAUCACUUCAAUGGAGGGCUUUCAUUGGAUCCACAGAAUGUUUCCAUCUUAGUAAAUACUUUUCGGUAUUUGAAUUUGAGUCACAAUGGGCUGGAUGGGGAGUCUUUUAAGGAUUGUUCGAUGCAGAUAUUUCAGAACUUGGAAAUAUUGGAUGUGAGUCAAAAUCAGAUCAGAGGGAAGCUUCCUUCGUUUCAUCCAUUGCUAUCCCUUCGGGUUUUGUGGGUUGGUAACAAUCUGCUUGAUGGAUCUAUACCACCUGAGCUCUUUGGGAGUUCCAUGCAGCUGGAAGAACUGGAUCUCAGCAGCAAUGGAUUUUCAGGUUGAGACGGUCCUUCGAAAGCAUCCUAAUCCAUCUCAAGUGGAGAAGGUGAAACUAAUCAUUGGGGAGCAUGAAAAAGAACUUAGCGAAGCACUUGAGAAGGUCGUUGGUGUAUUAAUGGUCAGAAUCGCAUUGAUUUGCAAGGUGAUUAUAGCUGAAAUAGUCGUUACGUAGGGCUGUUGGACACUUUGAUUUGUAAGUAUUUCUGAUGUAGAUAGGCAACAUCCUUUGUUUCCUAUGACUGCUACAAACUGCAGGAUGUUUUUCAUUUUGAUAGAUGCUAGCUCCUUUUUGUACUACAGCCCCGUUUGAUAGGUUGUGUCAAGGAUGAUUGGGUUUCUGUACCUCUGUUAUGUGGGUAAGAGCAAUUGGAGUCUAAUGGAAUAGAUCAAUUGUACCUCUGUUAUAUGGUACACUCUGGAUCUUAAAUCAUUUAUAUUGUCUAUGGUUUUUAUGCUCUUUUCAGUUUCUUGAUCACGUAACCUAAAACUAUUUGAAAGUUGUUUGUGUUUAGGAGUGUAAGAUCAUAUAUCAUGUAAUGUCAGUGGUGGUCUCUUUAUACUUUAUAUCAUAUGCAUUUGGUCUCAAGAUCCUGGUAACUCUUUCUCUGAGUAGUUUUGGACCUGAGCAAUUCUGAACAAUACCUCUCAAGUUUUGGACCUGAGCAAUUCUGAACAAUACCUCACGAAAUAUACAUGUAGGUUAUACUAGUUUUAUUCUGCCCGAUCUCAAUCAUGCAAAGCUAAAACAGAUGACUCUUUGCCAUUCAUAGAUAUAAACUUCAUAUAAUCCAUAUCCACUGUCAGCAACUUCCUGUUGAUAUAAUUAUGACUGGAGCAAGGUUCUAAAACACGAACUCAACUCUCUGUGGCCCCAAUCCGAGGUCUUCGACUUCAACAUGGGCAACUGUCUGAUUAUUUAAUUGAGGUUUUCCAGUUUUGAAAAUGAUUAUGCUGUAAUUGAGGCCUUGUAUGAAUAUUUUUCAGCUCUUAUUGAGCCAUGGGAUGGACCUGCACUUAUAUCACGUGAAGUUUGUGUUAGAACUGCUUCACGCUUUAAUGAUUCUGCAUGUGACAUGAGUAUUUUGAACUUAUAUUUAUUGUAUAAAUGCAAUUACUGAUGGCCGCUAUCCUGGAGCGACAUUGGAUCGGAAUGGAUUGUGCCUCAGUCGCUUUUACAUCACACAUAGUGGACACGUGAUCAUGGCCAAUGAAGUUGGUGUUGUAGACAUCUUGCCAGAAGAUGUGGCUAGGAAAGGAAGACAUCUGAUCGGUCCAAUGGGGACCUUACUGAAACAGUUCAUGUGAAAGGCUAGGAAAGGAAGACAUUUGUAGUUUGUUUUGAAAACUUUAAAUAGACCAUUAAUUGUUUUGUUGAUAUUGUGCUCAUUGUUGUCUUGAUGAAUGUUAAAUGAGUGAAAUAUGCACAGGUUCAAUCAUUUGUUGAUUA
Long non-coding RNA from Magnolia sinica, 1929 nucleotides. RefSeq lists it as uncharacterized. The transcript is spliced from 4 exons. NCBI's taxonomy places the organism in Eukaryota, Viridiplantae, Streptophyta, Magnoliopsida, Magnoliales, Magnoliaceae. The record is from RefSeq and is a predicted model, not a curated record.